RNAcentral lists this ribosomal RNA (1576 nucleotides) under metagenome. Its description in RNAcentral is "bacterial LSU rRNA". It matches the Rfam family "Bacterial large subunit ribosomal RNA", at positions 1382 to 2925 of the family's 2925-position model. The record is from RNAcentral.
AGUCGGUCCCUAAGCCGAGGCCGAGAGGCGUAGGUGAUGGGAAACAGGUCAACAUUCCUGUACCAGCAUUAGAAGGUUACGAGUCUGAGGAGGGACGCAGAAGCGAACUUACCGUCGGCUGAUGGAUGCCGAUGCAAGGUGGUAGGCGUUCCCGGGUAGGCAAAUCCGCCUGGGGUAGCCGAGAACCGAUGCCGAAGAGGGCGCAAGCCUUCGCAAAGGGUGGGCGUAGCACGCUGCCGAGAAAAGCUUCGCAGACCACGACUAAUUGCUGACCGUACCGUAAUCCGACACAGGUAGGCGAGGCGAGUAGCCUCAGGGCCUCGAGUGAUUUACGGAGAAGGAACUCGGCAAAAUGACCCCGCAACUUCGGGAUAAGGGGUGCCGGCAGUAUGUGACCCGUCAAGGGGAGCAGAGACCGGCCGCAGUGAAUCGUCCCAAGCGACUGUUUAGCAAAAACACAGGUGUCUGCAAAGGCGUUUUCCAAGCCGACGUAUAGACACUGACGCCUGCCCGGUGCCGGAAGGUUAAGGUAAGUGGUCAGCCGCAAGGCGAAGCUACGAACCGAAGCCCCGGUAAACGGCGGCCGUAACAAUAACGGUCCUAAGGUAGCGAAAUUCCUUGUCGGGUAAGUUCCGACCUGCAUGAAUGGCGUAACGACUUGGGAGCUGUCUCCUCCGUAAGCUCGGCGAAAUAGCAGCAUCGGUGAGGAUUCCGAUUACCCGCGACAGGACAAAAAGACCCCAUGCACCUUUACUACAACCUGUCAUUGAUCGUCGAUAUACACUGCGUAGCAUAGGUGGGAGCCGUUGAGACCCAGGUUUCGGCUUGGGUGGAGGCAACAGUGAAAUACCACCCUUUGUUUAUUAACGAUCUCACUCGGCCGGCAACACCGGCGAGGACCGUGGCUGGUGGGUAGUUUGACUGGGGCGGUCGCCUCCUAAAAAGUACCGGAGGCACGCGAUGGUGGGCUCAGUGCGGUCGGUAAUCGCACGUUGAGUGUAUACGCAAAAGCCCGCCUGACUGCGAGCGCGACGGCGCGAGCAGGGACGAAAGUCGGCGUAAGUGAUCCGGUGAUCCCGUAUGGAUGGGUCAUCGCUCAUUGGAUAAAAGGUACGCUGGGGAUAACAGGCUUAUCGCGCCCGAGAGUUCACAUCGACGGCGCGGUUUGGCACCUCGAUGUCGGCUUGUCACAUCCUGGGGCUGGAGAAGGUCCCAAGGGUCCGGCUGUUCGCCGGUUAAAGUGGCACAUGAGCUGGGUUCAGAACGUCGUGAGACAGUUCGGUCUGUAUCCGUCGUGGGCGUGGGAACGUUGAGGGAUCAGGACUCUAGUACGAGAGGACCGAGUCGUAGUGACCUCCCGUGUACGGGCUGUUCCGCCAGGGGCAGCGCCCGGUAGCGAUGUCACGCAGGGAUAACCGCUGAAAGCAUCUAAGUGGGAAACCCGUCCCAAGAUGAACGUUCCUGGAGCUUAAGCUCCCUUAAGGGCCGUGGGAGACUACCACGUUGAUAGGCCGCAGGUGUACGGCGCGCGAGCGCUUCAGCCGAGCGGUACUAAUCGCCCGUGAAGUUUGAUCUC